Molecule: transfer RNA, 73 nt
Filed under: Glaucomys volans (southern flying squirrel)
Lineage: Eukaryota; Metazoa; Chordata; Mammalia; Rodentia; Sciuridae
Description: tRNA-Asn
Rfam family: tRNA
About the family: Transfer RNA (tRNA) molecules are approximately 80 nucleotides in length. Their secondary structure includes four short double-helical elements and three loops (D, anti-codon, and T loops).
Source: RNAcentral
UAGAUUGAAGCCAGUUGAGUUAGGCAUUUAGCUGUUAACUAAAUUUUUAUGGGUUAAAAUCCCAUCAAUCUAG